GAGGAGCCUGUCCUAUAAUCGAUAACCCCCGUUUAACCUCACCACUUUUUGCCUUUCAGUCUGUAUACCUCCGUCGUCAGCUUACCACGUGAGUGAAGUAAAGUAAGUUCAAUGUCUUAUUUCACGUCAAUACGUCAGGUCAAGGUGCAGCUAAUAAAGUGGGAAGAGAUGGGCUACACUCUCUAAUUUAGAAUAUACGAAAGACUACUAUGAAAACUAGUCUAAAGGUGGAUUUAGCAGUAAAAAAAGACCAGAGUGCUUUUUUUAACUAGGCCCUGGGGUGUGUACACACCGCCCGUCACCCUCUUCGUAGCCAAAAAUUUAGUAACUAACAAAAUUUGCACAAUAGAAGAGGUAAGUCGUAACAUGGUAAGUAUACCGGAAGGUGUGCUUGGAAA
This 398-nucleotide ribosomal RNA is filed under the name Boana stenocephala. RNAcentral describes it as "partial 12S ribosomal RNA". It matches the Rfam family "Bacterial small subunit ribosomal RNA", at positions 932 to 1522 of the family's 1533-position model. Lineage: Eukaryota; Metazoa; Chordata; Amphibia; Anura; Hylidae. The record is from RNAcentral.